Molecule: ribosomal RNA, 463 nt
Filed under: uncultured bacterium
Lineage: Bacteria
Description: SSU rRNA
Rfam family: Bacterial small subunit ribosomal RNA
Source: RNAcentral
AGAAUCAACGCUGGCGGCGUGCCUAACCCAUGCAAGUCGAACGAGAAAGUGGAGCAAUCCAUGAGUAAAGUGGCGACCGGGUGAGUAACACGUGACUAACCUACCUUCGAGUGGGGGAUAACCUCGGGAAACCGAGGCUAAUACCGCAUAACAUCGUGAGAUCAAAGCAGUAAUGCGCUGGAAGAGGGGGUCGCGGCUGAUUAGCUAGUUGGCGGGGUAAUGGCCCACCAAGGCGAAGAUCGGUAGCCGGCCUGAGAGGGCGCGACGGCCGACGACUGGAACUGAAACACGGUCCAGACUCCUACGGGAGGCAGCAGUGGGGAAUUUUGCGCAAUGGGGGAAACCCUGACGCAGCAACGCCGCGUGGAGGAUGAAGCCCCUUGGGGUGUAAACUCCUUUCGAUCGGGAAGAUGAUGACGGUACCGAUAUAAGAAGCCCCGGCUAACUUCGUGCCAGCAGCCGC